Molecule: transfer RNA, 82 nt
Filed under: Pseudogemmobacter humi
Lineage: Bacteria; Pseudomonadati; Pseudomonadota; Alphaproteobacteria; Rhodobacterales; Paracoccaceae
Source: RNAcentral
GGCGCCAAUAUGCUGGUGUUCUGGUGCUCCGGUUUGCAGCCGGCGUGAAAAGGGAAGCCGGUGCAAGGCCGGCGCUGCCCCC